GUUCCAGUUUCCGGUUUGUAGGACACGGCCGACACUGUGGGAGUGGCCGUCAGGACCCAGGAAGGUUGUUUUAUGCUCCUCCGUGCAGCGCCUGGGUCCUGUGACACACAGCACGUGGGUCUGAUACACUCAGUGGCAGCCCCAGAUUCUGUGUGGACUGCCGCCCGGCCCUCAUCACACAGGGUGCUCUCAGGUUGUGACCUCUCAGCAGGACUUGCUCGGGUGACAGGCAUCUCACUCAAUUGUACUAAGAA
Molecule: long non-coding RNA, 254 nt
Filed under: Bos mutus (wild yak)
Lineage: Eukaryota; Metazoa; Chordata; Mammalia; Artiodactyla; Bovidae
Description: lncRNA (ENSBMUG00000005062.1)
Source: RNAcentral